GACGUAGGGCGCGAGCGUUGUCCGGAUUUAUUGGGCGUAAAGAGCUCGUAGGCGGUUUGUCGCGUCGAAUGUGAAAACUCGGGGCUCAACUCCGAGCUUGCAUUCGAUACGGGCAGGCUAGAGUUCGGUAGGGGAGACUGGAAUUCCUGGUGUAGCGGUGAAAUGCGCAGAUAUCAGGAGGAACACCGGUGGCGAAGGCGGGUCUCUGGGCCGAUACUGACGCUGAGGCGCGAAAGCUAGGGGAGCAAACGGG
Molecule: ribosomal RNA, 253 nt
Filed under: uncultured bacterium
Lineage: Bacteria
Description: partial 16S ribosomal RNA
Rfam family: Bacterial small subunit ribosomal RNA
Source: RNAcentral